AGCGAACGCUGGCGGCAGGCUUAACACAUGCAAGUCGAGCGGGCCCUUCGGGGUCAGCGGCAGACGGGUGAGUAACACGUGGGAACGUACCCUUUGGUUCGGAAUAACGCUGGGAAACUAGCGCUAAUACCGGAUACGCCCUUUUGGGGAAAGGCUUGCUGCCGAAGGAUCGGCCCGCGUCUGAUUAGCUAGUUGGUGGGGUAAUGGCCUACCAAGGCGACGAUCAGUAGCUGGUCUGAGAGGAUGAUCAGCCACACUGGGACUGAGACACGGCCCAGACUCCUACGGGAGGCAGCAGUGGGGAAUAUUGGGCAAUGGGCGCAAGCCUGAUCCAGCCAUGCCGCGUGAGUGAUGAAGGCCUUAGGGUUGUAAAGCUCUUUUGUCCGGGACGAUAAUGACAGUACCGGAAGAAUAAGCCCCGGCUAACUUCGUG
This 433-nucleotide ribosomal RNA is filed under the name uncultured bacterium. RNAcentral's name for it is "partial 16S ribosomal RNA". It matches the Rfam family "Bacterial small subunit ribosomal RNA", at positions 29 to 507 of the family's 1533-position model. The record is from RNAcentral.